CAGGGGUCAGGUUUCAUGAGGACACCUCAUGAAAAGGCCUCAUAACUAGAAGCCAGGUCUGAAAUAAUGAGGUGCUGGUGGGUUGUUAAAGUAAAACCAUACAAGCUGGUGGGACAAAAAUUUAUAUUAUGUCAAAGUCGUAUCUUUCUGGAAAACACCUCCCUGGUAGCCAUCAGUCACGCUGCUGCUCAUCUCCAGGAGAUGAAUGUUUUGUACCAUGUGUAGGGAAGACAAAACCAGUCCCCUGUUUUUUCCAGAAGUCAGGGAGUUUUGCCAAGCAGACAUACAGGCUAGUCAUUGAAGGCCGUUUCCUCCGACUGUGCUGCCCAAGUCCUCGACAGUGGGAAUCGGUUAGAAGACAGAGGCAGGGCAGAGGACAGCCACCUAACCACCUAAGCGUUGAGGCAGCAGAAGUCCUUGCUUACCCGUUAGGAUAUGGAGAGCCAGAUAAUGCAGAGGGCUCAGGGCAUGUCCGCAUGGCCUUAAGCAGAAGGCCCUGCUCACAUCACCCCAGGGCAUUGGUGCCAUGACCACCGGUCACUGGGUUGUUUGAGCAGCAUCGGUGUCCCAGAUCACCGAUGGAGUUUAAGUCCUUUAACCCAGUGACACUACUGAGUCAGAGUUACUUUUCAAUGCUAAGUAUGCUCUCUUUUUCCUUUCAGUUUGCUGGGGAGGUUGUUUUGCAUGUGUGCCCCAGCUGUGUGGCAAGUAGGAUAGCUUGGUCACUUUGAGAUUCCAGUUGUACUGAACGGCUAAUGAAACAUGGUUCGGUGUACUGUUCAGCUGUGUUUAAAAAGAGGGCUCAGUGGCCAGACCCUAUCAGUGCGGGCAGGACGGCCUGGCAGAGAGCCUGUGUCUGUCAUGAUAAGGAGCUGGGAGCUCCCCAGUCUUCCAUCAGCCUCUUCUCCCAUGAUCUGUGUCAAAUCAUCAACGUUGUUGGAAGGAGAGCGGAAGCCAUACAAAGUUGUAAGAAGCAUUAUUAUUUUCUUUAAACCUUGUAAAGGAAAAGAAUAGGCUGGGUGCGGUGGCUCACUCCUAUAAUCCCAGCACUUUGGGAGGCAGAGGCGGGCAGAUCACCUGAGGUCGGGAGUUCGAGGCCAGCCUGGGCAAUAUGGUGAAACCCCAUCUCUACUAAAAAUACAGAAAUAUUAGCCAGGCAUGGUGGUGCAUGGCCACCAGCCUCCCGAGUAAUUUCAGCUACGUGGGAGGCUGAGACAGGAGAAUAGCUUGAACCAGGGAGGCGGAGGUUGUGGUAAGCCAAGAUCAUGCCACUGCAUUCCAGCCUGGACAAGAGAGUGAGACUCUGUCUCAAAAAAAAAAAAAAAAAAAAAAAAAAAAAAAAAACAAAGAAAGAAAACAAAUGCUAGCUUAAACUGGGAUGCAUAGUAAGAUAAACCUCUGAUGAAAUACAUUCCAGAAAGCAGUUUUUUUAACACCCAUACAGCAUUUAAAGGACCAUAUAUCCAGAACAUGUCCAUCUCUUUGAAUCCCACAUUUCAAAGUAUAUUUGACCAGAUAAAAUUAUGGAUGGGAAUGAAGCUUGUGUAUCACUCAUUAUCAUGUGUAAUCAAUAAAUGAUUUAAUUCUCUUGGAAAAAAUGUAUAUUUGAAAAUGGUAACACCUCCGCUCCCAUCUACUCACUCUCCCCCUCAACAGGUGAGGACCUCAGAAGUGCAGGAUUAUCUUUUGGUCAGAUGGAGGUAGAGAAUCAAAACCCUGGGUGAACCGAGCCGGGGAGUUUGGGAUAAUUGGGAGAGUCGAAAAUCUCCGAGGUGCCCUGAGCUGUGCUAAUGAUUCCUGCUUGGAUCUCCCAGCCAGGUGCCCAGAGGGAGGUCUGGUUUGGAAGGUCGGUAUUGGCAGAUGGAGGUGGGGUGGGGGAGGUGGGGGAGCCUGGCAGGAGCAGGCUGUUCCUUUGGUGUUUUUGCUGUUCUGGCUGGAGGUUUGCUGUGUUAGGAGCAGUGAAAGGGAAAGAGAACCUCACUAUCAUCCUGCAUCCGUGUCCUAUGAUCAAAUCGGCCAUCUGGGGGUGUGUGGCAGUUGCUUAUUGGGACUCUAUGCAAAUGUGUCUGCAGGCCAUGUUUCUGUGGAAUGAGGGAGCACAGCUGUGACCAUCUCACACAGGCAUGCAAGUGAUUUUUAAAAUGUCCUAUACUUUGCUAUCUCCAUAAAACUGCUUCCAAAUAAAUAAAACAUUUUCUAAUCAGAAAUAUUGAGUGAUAACCAGAUGUUGGCUGUCCAGCAUUUUAAGGAGAGGAUUUGAGGUAUAUCUUUCAUUCCAUUUCUGAGGGUUUUUUUUGCCUUUCAAGAUGAGCAAACAUCCUUGUCCUGAGAAGAAAGGGGUGAUCUCCGCUUUAAGGAGACCAUGGAGGGUGGGCGUGGUGGUGCAUGCCUGUAAUCCCAGCACUUUGGGAGGCCAAGGUGGGCAGAUCACUUGAGUUCAGGAGUUUGAGACCAGCCUGGACAACAUAGUGAGACUCCAUCUCUACAAAUAAAAUACUAAAAUUAGCCAGGCAUGGUAGCAUGCACCUGUAGAUCCAGCUGCCUGGGAGGCUGAGAUGGGAGGAUCACUUGAGCCUGGGAGGUCCAGGCUGCAGUGAGCCGAGAUUGCGCCCCUGCACUCCAGCCUGGGCAGCAGAGUGAGACCCUGUCUCAAAAAAAAAAAAAAAAAAAAAAAAAAAAAGACCAUGGGGAAGCCAGGCAUGGUGGUUUAUGCCUGUAAUCCUGGCACUUUGGGAGGCCAAGGCAGGAGGAUUGCUUGAGUUCAGGAGUUUGAGACCGGCCUGUGCAACAUAACAAGACCCCCACCUCUACAAAAUACUUACAAAUUAGCUGAGCACAGUGGCACUUACCUGUAGUCCAGGCUACUUGGGAGGCAGACGAAGGAGGAUUGCCCGAGCCCAGGAGUUCAAGGUUGCAGUGAGCUGUGAUUGCACCACUGCACUCCAGCUGGGCAACAGAGCAAGGUCCUGCCUUAAACAAAAACAGAAGGACACUUUUGAUGACUUAGAGGUCAGCCUGUCAGCUGGACCCCCGACAGAGGACCUCAGCUCAGAGGGGUUUGCAGGCUGUAUCCCAUGCGUGAUAUUCCGCCCGAAACGCGGGUGCAUAUUUCCCUCUGUUUUCAUCAGUAAGAGCAGAUUAGGUAGGGAUUUCCAGUAGAUUGAUGUAUCUACCAAGCAAAAAGGCCUAGUGAGGAAAAGCCCAGGUUAGAAGGUACAGCUGCCAGCAGGAGGCAGGACACAGAGUGAGCCGUUUGACAAUGCUCCCUUUUCUCUUCUGUAAAAUGAGGACUUCUGUCCUGACUACCAUGCCAAGUUGUGAAAAGAUUGAAAACACAUGAAAUAGAUGUUAAUUUAUUAGGGAAAGAUAGUCUUGCUAUAUAAAUGCAAAGUGGUACUGGUACCAAAAUGAUGUUCAGAACUAAAUGUGGUGGUGGUGUUUCAUUCAAUACUGAGGAGGAAAUUCUUGGCUUGGUCAGGAAUGGUGGGACCUGUGAGUUGGGAUUUGUAAAUGGCCCUUGAAACCAGGCGCAGUGGCUCACGCUUGUUAUCCCAGCACUUUGGGAGGCCGAGGCGGGUGGAUCACGAGGUCAGGAGAUCGAGACCAUCCUGGCUAACGCGGUGAAACUCCAUCUCUACUAAAAAUACAAAAAAUUAGCUGGGUAUGGUGGCAGGCGCCUGUAGUCCCAGCUACUCUGGAGGCUGAAGUAGGAGAAUGGCGUGAACCCAGGAGGCAGAGCUUGCAGUGAGCCGAGAUCGCACCACUGCACUCCAGCCUGGGCCAGAGAGUGAGACUGUCUCAAAAAAAAAAAAAAAAGAAAAAGAAAGAAAAGAAAAUGGCCCUCGAACAAUUCUCGCAGCCUUUGCCUGGGGCCAGGCCCGGUGCUGUUUGCAGUAUGGCUGGCUGUGAUAUGGACUUGUGUGGAAUGUGCCUUACCAGGCACCAUGGUGCCCAGGAAGGAACGUGUAGAAUCCCAAGCCCUGGGGUGUGUCCACUUCGCCUGCUGGCUCCAGCUGAUGAAACGCAUGCAUGUACACACACACACAUGCACGAACACAGUCACAUCCGUGUGUGGGAGGCAGCAUGGGAGAGCCUUGGACUUGGUGUCCAGGGCCCUGCAUCCAGACUCAGAUUCCACCUUCCUGUCUGUGCCCUUGAUCAAGUCCCUUCUGCAUUCUUAGUCCAGUUUCUGCCUCCGUGAAAUGGGAGGCCCGCUUUCUGGGUUGAGUCUUUGGACCCCACAGUCCUUAGCUCAAAUCACCUGUUUUCUGCCUUUGCUUUGCUCUGUGGGAGUAAAUUCCUGUCUGUAUGUCCUGCUGGAAAACGCCACCCUUAGGUUGCUGGGGUCCCAGUGUCUUUAGGGCCCUCCACAUUGAACUGGCAUCAGGGAGAGAAUUGGUGGCUGGGCAGGACGUGGGGUUCAUCCCUGAGAGCAGUAUGUGAAACUGGAGUCUGACUGGACCACCCUGGGCGUCCUCCUGCCAUCUUCGGAUUUCUGUUUUAUUUGCAUAAUCCAUCCACAUUUCUUGCAUUUUAAGGACUUAAGAUCAUGUAACAGUGUCGUUCUGUGUUGUAUUCACUUCGUCUUGAUUAUUUUAAUUCCGUUUUUCCUUAAUACCCAUAAAUCUUCUCCCUCUGUGGAGGGCAGCCACUUUGAGCAUAUUUAGAAGGCAACUUGAUCCCAGGCAGCUUGUCCGACUUCAUUGCUGCCUCCUUCGUGAACUUGUUUAGAUCCUGUGUGGAGCAGAUGAUUAAGUUAGGUUUGUUUGGGGGUGUGGGGGCAAAGGAGCUUGACUGUCUCUGCGGGCAUAUUGCUUUAAUUUUUUGACCUUAUGACAAAAUAGUUUGAUGGAGAUUUGCGUUAUUUCCUGGCCAUUUUUGCUAUUAGAGGUUGAUAUACACUCUUUGGCAAGACCUCUCUGAUCUAGAAGACUCCAUCAUCAGCAUGGUUUGUGUAAUAGCUGAGAAACACAAUUCAGCUUUAUUAGAAAAAAAUGUAAAUGAUGUAUCGGCCUGGUGCGGGGGCUCACACCUGUAAUCCCAAUGUGUCCAGAGUUCAUUCCUUUUGGUGGGUUCUUAGUCUCACUGACUUCAACAGUGAAGCUGUGGACCUUCGCGUUGAGUGUUACCUUAAAGGUGGUGCGGACCCAGAGUGAGCAGCAGCAAGAUUUAUUGUGGAGAGCAAAAGAACAAAGCUUCCACAGUGUGGGAGGGGACCCAGGCAGGUUGCUGCUGCUGGCUGGGGUGGCCAGCUUUUAUUCCCUUAUUUGUCCCUGCCCAUGUCCUGCUGAUUGGACCAUUUUACAGAGUGCCGGUUGGUCCAUUUUACAGAGUGCUGAUUAGUGCACUUACAAUACUCUAGCUAGCCACAGAGCGCUGAUUGGUGCUUUUUACAGAGAGCUGAUUGGUGCAUUUACAAUCCUCUAGCUAGCCACAGAGCGCUGAUUGGUGCAUUUUUACAGGGCGCCCAUUGGUACAUUUAUAAUCUUUUGUAAGACAGAAAAGUUCUCCAAGUCCCCACCCAACCCAGGAAGUCCAGCUGGCUUCACCUCUCACCAACACUUUGGGAGGCUGAGGUGGGUGGAUCAUCUGAGGUCAGGAGUUUGAGACCAGCCUGACCAACAUGGUGAAACCCUAUCUCUACUAAAAAUACAAAAAUUAGCCAGGCGUGGUGGCAGGCACCUGUAAUCCCAGCUACUUGGGAGGCUGAUGCAGGAGAAUCGCUUGAACCUGGGAGGCGGGGGUUGCAGUGAGCUGAGAUUGCACCACUGCACUCCAGCCUGAGCGACAAGCUCAAGACUCCAUUUCUAAAUAAAUAAAUAAAAAUAAUGUAUCAAGAGCCUGGGCAACAUGGUGAAAUCCCAUCUCUACAAAAAAAAAAAAGAAAAGAAAAGAAAAAUUAACUGGGCAUGGUGGCGUGCUCCUGUAGUCCCAGCUACUUGGGAGGCUGAGGCAAGAGGAAUGCUUGAACCCUGGAGGUGGAGGUUGCAGUAAGCCAGGAUCAUGCCAGCCUGGCUCCAGCCUCCAAGAUGCACUCCAGCCUGGGUGACAGAGAGAGACCCCAUCUGAAUAAUAUAUCAAGGAAGGCAUAUAACCAUAAAAAUAUUUUUAAAUGCCAAAAUGUUUUCAUAAAGAUGUAAGCGUGCAUCACUUGAUUAUUUUUAAAGGAUGUUGGGGUUGCCCUGGCUAAUAACCGUAGCCAGCAAAGUCACCCGUGGUUAUGACUUCAGUUUGUUCUGCGGAAGUGAUUCUGAUGUCAUAAAACUGCCUGGACUUGGCUGAGAGGAUGAUGGGGCAGAAGAAGCGUUGUUUAAGCCAUAUGUUUGUUGUGCGUAGUGGCAGGAAGGGGCAAUUUACCGCCUGCAGAAAUGGGCUGCUGUUGCAAUUGGAGAACGUGGGAAGUUGUCUUGUAAGGAGAAAAGGGACAAAGGCUGGUUAAUCAGGUCUGGGAAAGCACUGUGAUAAUGAAACUGAAACCCUGGAGAAGAAGAGUGGUCUUGGCAAUCGGGAUAGAAGGCACAGAGGGAUUCAGAGGUAAAACAGCUGUUUGUCUUGAAGUGAGUAUCCGUCGGAGGGCUGUUUCACCCCCUCAUGUCAGCAUAAUCACUCACAAACAAGGUUUCAGAAUUAAAGACUACUGUUUAUACGGGGAGAACAGGCUCUGAGUUCCAUUUGAGAUAAAGUGAUUCUGUGGGAACCGUCAUGAGUGCCAUGCUGGGUUCAUCAGUUAUAAAACAGGUGAAUUUCACAUUGCCUCGUAUCACCUCUUUUGGUGGAAUUUUCAGUUAGUAAAGAGUUCCUUUUGAGAUUGCAGUUGACAGAAAUUUCUUAUAUUACCCUCAUGGCCAGAUAAAUAUAAACAUGAAAAUAAUUCCGCCUGGGUGGUGGUGAAUGUGUUAACAUGUGAUCAUCACUACACAGUGUCUGCAUGUAUCAAAUCAGCACAGUGUACACCUGGAACGUGUGCAGUCUCUAUUUGUCAGUUAAAUGUUUUACAUUUUUUUUUUAAGAAGAUUUGAAACCAAAAAAUAAAGAAUUUAGAAUGGUACAUUCUUGGCUGAAUAAACAACUGAUUCUACUUAACGACUACAAAUACAUCAUUUCCUACCUGGUAAGAAGUUUCUCAUUGUGGGAGAAAGGCUCUAACUCAUGCUGAGAAUUUCUGAGUGAUGUCAGUGAAGACGUGUUUAUCACAUUCACAGUUGACCCAAGGCAGAAGGUUCUAAACCCAGUGAACAAGAAUGAAGGGAUUAAACUACAAAAUAAGAGUUAACAGGGAGAAAUGUGCUAGCUACGAAAGGGGGGAAUCAGGGAAAAUGGUCAUCUUUCGUUGACUUGGUUUAAUAUUAGCAAUUUUGUGGUUUGGGGGUGGGUAAAAGUGGUUGAUUUAUUCACAAAGUAAUUUAAUUUGGGUGCCUGUAAUGUGCCAGACACUUGAGGAAUGUGAACAUGCGGCAGAGACUAAAACAGACAACUUAAUCCCGCUAUGAAGCUUAAUGAUCUGGUUGAGGGACAGAGAAGCUGCAGUAAAUGCAAUAGAUAAAUUAUAUAUUAAGACUGGGCGCGGUGGCUCAUGCCUGUAAUCCCAGCACUUGGGCAGGCCGAGGCGGGCAGAUCGUCUAGGUCAGGAGUUCAAGACCAGCCUGGCCAACAUGGCAAAACCGUGUCUCUACUAAAAAUACAAAAAUUAGCCGGCCUUGGUGACGUGCUCCUGUAGUCACAGCUAUUUGGGAGGCUAAGGCAGGAGAAUCACUUGAACCCGGGAGGCAGAGGUUGCAGUGAGCUGAGAUCGCACCACUGCACUCCAGCCUGGGCAACAGAGCAAGAUUCCGUCUCAAAAAAAAAAAAAAAAAAAAAUUAGAAGGAGAGAGAAAUGAUGUGGGGGUUACUUAAAGCGAAGGAAGUGGGGAAGGCUGCAGUUUUUUUGUUUUGAUUUUGUUUUGUUUUUGUUUUUGAGACGGAGUCUCUCUCUGUUGCCCAGGCUGGAGUGCAGUGGCGCAAUCUCGGCUCACUGCAAGCUCCGCCUCCCGGGUUCACGCCAUUCUCCUGCCGCAGCCUCCCGCGUAGGUGGAACUACAGAUGCCUGCCACCACGCCCAGCUAAUUUUUGUAUUUUUAGUAGAGACGGAGUUUCACCUUGUUAGCCAGGAUGGUUUCGAUCUCCUGACCUUGUGAUCCGCCUGCCUCGGCCUCCCAGAGUGCUGGGAUUGCAGGCGUGAGCCACCGCGCCCGGCCUUGAUACUGUUUUUGAGACAGAGUUUCACUCUUGUUGCCCUGGCUGGAGUGCAGUGGCACUGUCCUGGCUCAAUGUAAUCUCCACCUCCUAGAUUCAAGCAAUUCUCCUGCCUCAGCCUCCGAGUAGCUGGGACUAUAGGUGCAUGCCACCAUGCCUGGCUAAUGUUUUUGUGUUUUUAGUAGAGAUGAGGUUUUACUAUAUUGGCCAGGCUGGUCUCCAACUCCUGACCUCAGGUGAUCCACCUGCUUCGGCCUCCCAGAGUGCUGUGAUUAUAGGCGUGAGCCACCAUGCCCAGCCUGCAGUUUUAAUUAGAGUAGUCAGGCUUCACUGAAAAGGUGCCACUGGAGGAAGGAUGGGAAGCAGAUGACAAAGUUAGCCACGUGGCCAUCUGGUGAAGAGCGUUGCAGAUAGAGGGCAGAGCCAACACAGAGGCCAAAAUGGAGAGGUGAAUCUGGUAUGUUCAAGGAACAGCAAAGAGGCCAGCGUGUCUGGAACGAUGAGGGAAGACGUUAGUAGGAGUUGAAGACAUUCUGUUUCCCCAAUGUGAAAUAGGGACCAGGCUUAAUGUGUGAUGGUUCAAGAGACAAGAACCAAUAGCAACAAGUCAGUGUUACUGGGAGAUGAUUUGGGGUUAAUAUAAGGAACAUUGAGCAAGUUGGGCUGCUGGGGACUCAUGGAAACUGCUUUGAUCCACUGUCUAGUCAUGAACACAAUGUGAUAAGGACCUCUGUCUUCCAACAGGUAGCAGUGGGUGGGAUGGGUAUGUCAUUUAAAUAAAAACCAAGUCUUACAGACUAUUUGCAGAGCCAGUGCAGGACUAGACCCAGGGCCGGCAGGCAUUGCUCCUAUCUGGGCUGGAUUAACUUGAAUCAGGAAUUAUUGGGGCCAUUGAUGACAUCUGUCUGGCCAGCGGGGCAGCAGUUGGCCUGUGAGUAUUGAUGUCAUAUGGUUAUGUUGGAUCCUCCCAAGUGAGAAACAGCUGAGGUUUACGGACACAAGAACUCUACUAAUUUAAAAAUAUGCCUAUAAAGACCUUUCUAUAAAGUAAGUUUUUAGGUAGCUUUUUGUUUGGAAGUCCUUAAGAUAUGGGGAAUUUUUUUUUUUCAAUUUUUUUGUCAGAGUAAUAUGUGUACAAGGUUCAAAAGUCAGGUAUUUACUAGACUUAUAAAGAAAAGCCCUGCCGCUCCCCCCUUUCUACUCCUGACUCCUGUUCCCUCGAGGCAGCCACUCCCAGCUCUUGGAGCUGUUUCUUCUGACAUGUUUACAUGGUUCUCUCUUAGUUUCUUCAGUUUCCAGUCCACCCAGUGUAAUUAUAAUUGGAUUACAUUAAUAUUCACUAUAUACAUUGCUGUGACCAUAUAAUUACUCAGUUGACCCAGAUCAUAUACCAGGAUUACCUAGCCUUUCUUAACACUUUUUCCUCUGUGAUAUUAGUAAUUGUCUCAUUUGUUUCCUUUGAUUAGUUUUCUAUAAAUCUAUCACAAAGUCAUCUCCAGACACUCUGUCAGAGCCGAAACGUUCCUCCCAGUUUCGUUAGACACUUCAGGUAUUGUGUCGCUCAUUCGGAUCUCAGUGGCAUCCGGGAGCCCUCAGUCCCCAGAUCCGGUCUGAAGGUGUCACUCAAUUGCUGCAAUCUCACGAUCAAGCUGGAGCAGAUGAGGAGUCUCGAUGCACAGAGACAGUGGUUUCUUGAGAUGGAACCUAGUCCUGGUGAAGAUUCUGUGAUCAUUGUUGAAAUGACAACACAGGAUUUGAAACAUGACAUAAGUUAGUUGAUAAAGCAGCAGCAUGGUUUGAGAGGAUUGACUCCAAUUUUGAAAGAAGUUCUGAGCCCAGCAAGAUUGCUCAUGACUAUAAUCCCAGCACUUUGGGAGGUCGAGGCAGGCAGAACACCUGAGGUCAGGAGUUCAAGACCAGCUUGGCCAACAUGGUGAAACCUCAUAUCUACCAGUAAUACAAAAAUUAGCUGGGUGCGAUGGCACACUCCUGUAAUCCCAGCGACUUGGGAGGCUGGGGCAGGAGAAUCACUUGAACCCAGGAGGCGGAGGUUGCAGUAAGCCGAGGUUGUGCCGUUGCUCUCCAGCCUGAGCGACAAGAGUGAAACUCCAUCUCAAAAAAAAAAAAAAAAAACUUUUUAAAUAUUUAGUCAGGCACAGUGGCAUGCGCCUGUAAUUCCAGCUAUUCAGGAGGCCAAGGAAGGGAUGUCUCUUGAGUCCGAGAGUUCAGGGCAACAGUGAGCUGUGAUCAAGCCACUGCACUCCUUCCUGGGCAGCAAAGUAAGACCCUGUCUCUAAAAAAAUAAAAUAAUCAUUCAAA
This is a long non-coding RNA of Symphalangus syndactylus (siamang), 10551 nucleotides long. RefSeq lists it as uncharacterized. Lineage: Eukaryota; Metazoa; Chordata; Mammalia; Primates; Hylobatidae. The record is from RefSeq and is a predicted model, not a curated record.